UAUAAACAAUUGCACCCGUAUCCCGUCUCCUUUCAGCCUCCAUCAUGGGUCCCGAAGCUUUGCAGAAGAAAUUCGAAGAUGAAGUUGAGACUUACAAGAAAUUGCAGAAAGAUCUGACCAAGACCAAUGGCUUGCGCUCCCAGCUUGAUGGCCAAUUGAA
Long non-coding RNA from Penaeus monodon (black tiger shrimp), 160 nucleotides. RefSeq lists it as uncharacterized. Lineage: Eukaryota; Metazoa; Arthropoda; Malacostraca; Decapoda; Penaeidae. The transcript has 2 exons. The record is from RefSeq and is a predicted model, not a curated record.